RNAcentral lists this long non-coding RNA (1276 nucleotides) under Phasianus colchicus (ring-necked pheasant). Its description in RNAcentral is "lncRNA (ENSPCLG00000020774.1)". Lineage: Eukaryota; Metazoa; Chordata; Aves; Galliformes; Phasianidae. The record is from RNAcentral.
CCCAGUUCAUUUAAUGUGAAACAAAAGGCCACUGCUUGCUGGUAAUGAAUCAUUAGGUACUGUAGCUAUAUGUGCAUUAACGGGAUUAUUUCCAGGGAACUCUGCCGUUCCCUCACAUUAAAGUCUGAGAUAUUUUAAAAAACUAAUGUUAGUUUCUUCAAUACACCACCUUUGCCCUGCAUUCGCAGUUGCUAUCAGACAAACAUGGCAAUGCAAUCUGUUCCUUCCAUUUUGUUAAUAGGCCAUCAUGCCAUUCUAGAGAUGGUAGUUUGUAAUGUAAAGAGGCUGUAUUGUUUGCUUAACAGUCAAGUGACAAAUUAUUUAAUUAGCACAUAUGCCAUUUGUCUCCACAGCUGUGUUCAUCAUUCUAAUUGCAAAGCAGUCUUAAUUUAUUGCAACUAUAUUGCUCCCUAAUACUAACACAGUAAUUAUAUGCUUCCAUUAGCCCACUACACCCUAUGUAAAAAAAAAAAAAAGAUUCAUUCCUCCACACGAUGUAUCUCUCCACCAGUGAGAGGUAUGGAAUCUCUUGCUUGUGAAGGGGAUACGUGGGUAGCUGCUAGAAAAAUUGAAGACUCUGUGCUUGAUUUUUUCCUAGCCACUUUCUUGAAAGUUUCUAUUGUUGGAAUUGCCAGAAAUGUUCAGAUUUUGCUUUGUUUUGAAAGUGUUCUGGUUGGAUGCACAAGACUGUUUUGAUAUCUCCACCUGCUGGAGAAACCCCAGCACGCAGAAUGGAGCCAGCCUCUGCCUUCUGAAAAACACCCAGCUCCUGCACACCAAAACUGCACAAACUCUCCUUUCAUCCUUCUCCUCCCUUUCCUCAGCAGAUCUGCCUCCAGGUCAGGAAGAAGGCGCCAGGAGAGGUGUGCAGCCCUGUAACACCUGCAGACAUUUUCAUCUGCACAGGAGAAAUGUUUCUUCAGAACUGCAUGGAGAGGGAUACAGUAAAAACACUUCUAACCCGAUACAGAUGAAAGGCAUCAAAAUCCUCGGGAGAGGUAUCGGCUGCCUCUGCUAAAACCCUUUUUUGGAAAAUUUCGGUGGCUGAUGUUGGAGAUCCUCAGCCUCAUAAAAAUAUAUACACGUUUAUUAAAAAGCCCAGAGUUUAACGAAUGCAUGGCACAUCACCCCUGCGCGGAUGCGUUUCAUUCAGUCAUUCUGCCUUUGGAGAUACAAUUUACAUGGCUAUCCUCUCACGAGCAAAUCUUUCGAUGAAACUGUGAGAGAGGACUUCAAUUGUAAAAAGAGAAUAAAAGUAGCAAAUGCUCGGCUUCCA